Molecule: long non-coding RNA, 1117 nt
Organism: Herpailurus yagouaroundi (jaguarundi)
Lineage: Eukaryota; Metazoa; Chordata; Mammalia; Carnivora; Felidae
Exons: 3
Source: RefSeq, a predicted model, not a curated record
GAGACAUUCCGGGACACUCACUCAUAAGGGGAGUCUGCAGGGGUCACAGAGAACAGUGGAAAGCGAGCCAUGGAAACAUAGCAGUCACUCACAUCACUGCGGGGAAGGUGUAACAGUGGGAAGUAUGCUGGCUUGGAAUCAGACCACGCUUUGAAUUUGAGCUGUGUCAUUCAUCAGAUGAAUGACUUCACAGAAGUCAACUUAACCCUUCUCAUACUCAGUUUUUUCAUCUGUGAAAAUGGCCUUUGUUCAGAUAAAGUUAGAAGAGACAGGUGAAGGCGUCAAGGACAUUGCCCACCUUUGUGCCAGAAGAUGUAUGAUGAUGGGUCAAAAGCAGUCAAGAUGUAUGAUGAUGGGUCAAAAGCAAUCAUGGUCAUCUUGGCUCCCUUCGCCACUCAUCAAUCUGAAGAUGGGCAAGUGCCCCACAGUGUCGAAAGAGAUGUGAGAAUGGAUUGGCUGAGAAAGACUCACAGGGAGAAGAGCUUGUGCCCCUUGCCCAUUCUUCCUGAAUGUGUACAUAUCGCUGAAGUUACAGUAGUCAUCUUGUGAGCAAGAGAAGACAAACAUAAGGAGGACCAACAUGACAGAUGUUAAGACAGAAAUACAGAAAGAACCUGGAUCUCCUAAGGCGUCACUGAGUGAGCCCUUUGAGUUGCCUACCUUGACUUGUUCUUAUGUGAGAAAAAUCCACUCUUCUUUUUUGAAACCCCUGUAAUCCAUUUGUUGUUACUUGCAGCCAAACACACUCAUGAUUGAUACGACCUAUUGCAGUUCUGUGAUUUUGGUAACGUUGACCCCAUGUCAUAGAUGAAGACAGCAAGGCUCGGAAAAAAGAAGUUGACAUAUAGUGGUAGAGCUUAGAUUCCAACUCAAGUUCCCUGAUUGUAAGCCCUUGGCAUUCUCCAAUGACCUAACCAUUCUUAUUAUUCCUUCCUACCAAAAUAUGUAUUAUUCUGUUUUCCCUUAUAUUAAGGAAGAAGGACUUGAGAAGUCCCAUCUGUUCUGAGCUUUACUUGUGCCUCUGUUGUCAGCCAGCUGACUUUCAUUUCCUAAUUAAGUAGUUAAUUCUACCCACAUUUACCUGUAUAUAUAAAUAAAACCUUUGGACUUUGAUAUA